AGCGAACGCUAGCGGCGAGCUUAACACAUGCAAGUCGAGCGGAGGGUUUCGGCCACGAGCGGCGAACGGGUGAGUAACACGUAGGUCAUCUGCCCUUUGGUGGGGAAUAACCCGAGGAAACUCGGGCUAAUACCGCAUACUGCCUUCGGGUCAAAGGCUUCGGCCGCCAGAGGAUGAGCCUGCGUCGCAUUACCUAGUUGGUGGGGUAAUGGCCCACCAAGGGGACGAUGCGUAGCUGGUCUGAGAGGAUGAUCAGCCACACUGGGACUGAGACACGGCCCAGACUCCUACGGGAGGCAGCAGUGGGGAAUAUUGCGCAAUGGGGGAAACCCUGACGCAGCAACGCCGCGUGUGUGAAGAAGGCCUUCGGGUCGUAAGCACUGUUGGGAGGAACGAGCCGCUCGUGGGGAAGUAUCUGCGAGCCCGACGGGUACCUCCUGAGGAAGCACCGGCUAACUCCGUGCCAGCAGCCGCGGUAAA
Molecule: ribosomal RNA, 480 nt
Filed under: uncultured bacterium
Lineage: Bacteria
Description: bacterial SSU rRNA
Rfam family: Bacterial small subunit ribosomal RNA
Source: RNAcentral